Cyprinus carpio carpio is the source of this 513-nucleotide long non-coding RNA. The record is from Ensembl. Lineage: Eukaryota; Metazoa; Chordata; Actinopteri; Cypriniformes; Cyprinidae.
CUGUCUUUUUCUUGAUGAACGCUGCCUCACAGGUGAGGAUGAGGAUGAUGUAGCAGUAACAGGGGCAGGUGAUGAACUUUUCCUCACAGAUGAGGAUGAGGAUGAUGUAGCAGUAACAGGGGCAGGUGAUGAACUUUUCCUCACAGAUGAGGAUGAGGAUGAUGUAGCAGUAACAGGGGCAGGUGAUGAACGCUGCCUCACAGGUGAGGAUGAGGAUGAUGUAGCAGUCACAGGGGCAGGUGAUGAACGCUGCCUCACAGGUGAGGAUGAGGAUGAUGUAGCAGUCACAGGGGCAGGUGAUGAACUUUUCCUCACAGGUGAGGAUGAGGAUGAUGUAGCAGUCACAGGAGCAGGUGAUGAACGCUGCACAGAAGACCAAAGACACAAAAAGAAAUACCACAGAUGUAAACAAAAAGUAAAUAUAAAUGCUUGCUUAAUUCAAAGUGCAUUGAUUUAGUUUAAGGGCAAGACAAAUGCAUUUGGAACAAAUAAUGUUUAAAACACAAAAGGGAG